This 279-nucleotide unclassified non-coding RNA is filed under the name Hevea brasiliensis (rubber tree). The record is from RNAcentral. Lineage: Eukaryota; Viridiplantae; Streptophyta; Magnoliopsida; Malpighiales; Euphorbiaceae.
CAUCAUUGUGUGACCUGAGGUUUUGUUUAACAAAUCAAACAUCUCCAGAUUCAACGGUGAAACUGUUGAAAGGGAGGAAAAUGCAAUAUCAAGCCAAGAAAAUUAGAUCAGAAAGUAAAGAACUAGAGAAGCAGAACAAGGAAGUAAAUAACAAUGAAGAGGAAGAAGAAGAUGAGGUAGGCUUUGUGACUCUUGUUCGGUUCACUGAAGAUAACCCAACCGGAAGGGCAACAGCUCUACUCAAUUGGAAGUUACUGAUAAUUGAAGUAUUGCCUGAAG